Mustela erminea (ermine) is the source of this 1588-nucleotide long non-coding RNA. RefSeq lists it as uncharacterized. NCBI's taxonomy places the organism in Eukaryota, Metazoa, Chordata, Mammalia, Carnivora, Mustelidae. The transcript has 3 exons. The record is from RefSeq and is a predicted model, not a curated record.
UUUCUCCAGUGAGUCUCAACCCAGGGUGGCUAUGAGGAAGGUGCCCUGGGCCAUGUGGCUAAAAGCCGAGAGCCAGGAGGAGGCCACACCUUCCCUGCCCCCUCUGUGCUUGCCUGUCUCAUCCUAGGGGGUCUGCUUUGAAGACCAGCAAGCCACAUGCCAAAAGCCAUGUGCCUGACCUGCUGUAGCCUGGACUGGCUCCCUUGUCUAGCAACCACUGUCCCCAUGGAGGAGUUGGAAGAAUUCACAUGGCCUAAAGCAAACAAGAUAGAAGGAGUUCCUGAAGAAUGUGGGGAAUUGGAAAGUAGAGGGAAAAUUGAGGAGACACGGUGGCUUCUGGAUUGGAACCAUAUAGUAGCUGAAAGCCUUUAAUAUAUACCUCAAAUCUGUGGAAAUGCGUGCAUAAUUACUUGGGUACAUAAGCAUGUUACUGAGCUGACCAUCCUUUUUGGCAUCAAGACUGACUGACCUGACGACUGCUCUACCUUGUGGACGCAAGGCUGUGGGAGCGCCAGCCUCUCAGUGCAGCCCCUAUGGAACAGAACGGAGAACUGGUCACCUGGCUCGCAGCUCCUGCUAUCACACGUCUGUCCCGCGUUGCAUGUAACCCAUGCACUUGCAGGCUGUAUGUGGGUUUGAUCCAGGUGGAUGCACUUUCCUGUCUCAGCAUCAACAGGGAAGCCCUGGGGCAGGAGGCUAGAGACUCUGGGCAUUGGCAGGAGGUGGAGAGCUGCCGGGCUGUGUCCAUGUGAAGGUGAUGGGAGCCCGCAAACAAGCCGGCCACUGCAAAGGGGAAGCAAGAGCAUUGAACUGAAGCAUGAAAAGUAUUUGCUACAACCUUUUCGCUUUUCUCUUGUACUCUUUCUGGUAAGCGAGGAGCCUCCUCUGACAGCCAGGUAGCCAGAAAAAUUUAAAAAAGGCAAAAGUCCACGUUAGUACUGACCGUUUGCGUUAUCCUGGUGUAUUGCUGAGAUAGGGAUAGGGAUGAAAUAAAACCUCGUGAACAGAUUUCUUGCAAACAAAUAGUUCUUGAAGCUAAAGGCAAACCCACUCCUGAGAUUGCUUUUGGCGAUAGUUACUCAAGAUGUGGAUAUAGUGAAUAUAUAGGUAUUCUAGACUUUUUUUGCCUUGUUGAUAAAUUCUAAUGAGUUUUAAGUGUUCUGUUCUCUGAUUUCCCAUACCAUGCUUACCGUUUCUUUCCAACUCUUUCGUCCUCACAAUUGUUUAUUGAUAAUUGUUUCUGAAACCGGUGAACAUACACUUAAACGUGCACAAUAUGCCCUUGGAAAAUAAAGGAUAAAGAAAAGAUAUGAAAAUUAAAUUUGGUGUUUUGAGAAGGAAUUCAGACUUGCUUUGAUUUUAAUGAUUUCAGUAACCAGAAUUUAAUUUUCAAUAAAUUUUAUGGGUCACGGUCAUCUUGAAUGUUUAUGGUCCUCAUGCCAGAGGGAAGAGAGAAAUCUGAGCGAUUUGUUCUAGCUCGCUCUGGCCAGGAUAGGAUCACUGUCCUUUUCCCUCACUACAAUCAGUCACAGACCCCACACUCCCCACCAUACAACCACAGGGGGCAGAAAGUACAAUUCUGUGGGAU